GAUGAACGCUGGCGGCGUGCCUAAUACAUGCAAGUCGAGCGAACGGACGAGAAGCUCGCUUCUCUGAUGUUAGCGGCGGACGGGUGAGUAACACGUGGAUAACCUACCUAUAAGACUGGGAUAACUUCGGGAAACCGGAGCUAAUACCGGUUAAUAUUUUGAACCGCAUGGUUCAAAAGUGAAAGACGGUCUUGCUGUCACUUAUAGAUGGAUCCGCGCUGCAUUAGCUAGUUGGUAAGGUAACGGCUUACCAAGGCAACGAUGCAUAGCCGACCUGAGAGGGUGAUCGGCCACACUGGAACUGAGACACGGUCCAGACUCCUACGGGAGGCAGCAGUAGGGAAUCUUCCGCAAUGGGCGAAAGCCUGACGGAGCAACGCCGCGUGAGUGAUGAAGGUCUUCGGAUCGUAAAACUCUGUUAUUAGGGAAGAACAUAUGUGUAAGUAACUGUGCACAUCUUGACGGUACCUAAUCAGAAAGCCACGGCUAACUACGUG
RNAcentral lists this ribosomal RNA (497 nucleotides) under uncultured bacterium. RNAcentral's name for it is "partial 16S ribosomal RNA". It matches the Rfam family "Bacterial small subunit ribosomal RNA", at positions 28 to 507 of the family's 1533-position model. The record is from RNAcentral.